RNAcentral lists this ribosomal RNA (443 nucleotides) under uncultured bacterium. Its description in RNAcentral is "bacterial SSU rRNA". It matches the Rfam family "Bacterial small subunit ribosomal RNA", at positions 958 to 1399 of the family's 1533-position model. The record is from RNAcentral.
AACGCGAAGAACCUUACCUGGGCUCGAAAUGUAGUGGAAUAGGGUGGAAACAUCCUAGUCUCGCAAGAGACUGCUAUAUAGGUGCUGCAUGGCUGUCGUCAGCUCGUGUCGUGAGAUGUUGGGUUAAGUCCCGCAACGAGCGCAACCCUUAUCCCUAGUUGCCAUCGGGUCAAGCCGGGCACUCUAGUGAAACCGCCCGGGAUAACCGGGAGGAAGGUGGGGAUGACGUCAAGUCCUCAUGGCCUUUAUGUCCAGGGCUACACACGUGCUACAAUGGUCGGUACAAACCGUCGCAAACCCGCGAGGGGGAGCUAAUCGGAAAAAGCCGGCCUCAGUUCGGAUUGGAGUCUGCAACCCGACUCCAUGAAGCUGGAAUCGCUAGUAAUCGCGGAUCAGAACGCCGCGGUGAAUACGUUCCCGGGCCUUGUACACACCGACGCGUA